UACUGCCGAUCAUUGCGGUUUGAAGACAAACCAGACUAUUCAUAUUUGAAGAGGCUAUUUCGAGAGUUAUUUAUUCGAGAAGGUUAUCAGUUUGACUAUGUUUUUGACUGGACGGUUUUGAAAUACCCUCAGAUUAGUUCCAGCUCUAGAGGACGGCAUUCCAGUGGGAAACCAGGUCAUGCAGGACCAUCUGCAGAAAGACCCACAGAAAAGGUCUCAGUUGGGAAAGAGAUUCGGGAUAGAUUGUCAGGUGCUGUUGAAGCAUUUUCCACAAGGAAGUUCUCAGGCUCUAGUCCACAUGACAAUUCCAGAAACAGAUCUUCAGAGAAUCAACUGGAGCCAGAGAAAGGGCGUAGUUCUUCUCGUUAUGGCAGCAACACAAGAAAAGCUGUCGUCUCAAAUAGUCGGCCGAGUUCAUCUGGCGAACCUAGUGAAGGUCGUUCUAGCAGGUUACUCUCAAGCAGUGGCCGUCUGACUUCUUCACAAAGAAUCCAACCUGGGUAUGACCCAAAAUCAUCUACUCGUGCCGUGGCUUCUUCUAAAGGCACUCGUGACGACGCAUUUAGGAGCUUUGAGCUCCUCUCAAUCAG
Molecule: unclassified non-coding RNA, 590 nt
Filed under: Hevea brasiliensis (rubber tree)
Lineage: Eukaryota; Viridiplantae; Streptophyta; Magnoliopsida; Malpighiales; Euphorbiaceae
Source: RNAcentral